This 509-nucleotide ribosomal RNA is filed under the name uncultured Aneurinibacillus sp. RNAcentral's name for it is "partial 16S ribosomal RNA". The record is from RNAcentral. Lineage: Bacteria; Bacillati; Bacillota; Bacilli; Caryophanales; Paenibacillaceae.
CACGUAGUUAGCCGGGGCUUUCUCGUUAGGUACCGUCAGACCGGGAGGUCAUCCCGGCGGUUCUUCCCUAACAACAGAACUUUACGAUCCGAAAACCUUCAUCGUUCACGCGGCGUUGCUCCGUCAGACUUUCGUCCAUUGCGGAAGAUUCCCUACUGCUGCCUCCCGUAGGAGUCUGGGCCGUGUCUCAGUCCCAGUGUGGCCGAUCACCCUCUCAGGUCGGCUACGCAUCGUCGCCUUGGUAGGCCGUUACCCCACCAACUAGCUAAUGCGCCGCAGGCCCAUCUGUACGUGACCAAAGGUCUUUCUCUUUCAGACCAUGCGGUCUGAAAACGUAUCCGGUAUUAGCUCCGGUUUCCCGGAGUUAUCCCAGUCGUACAGGCAGGUUACCUACGUGUUACUCACCCGUCCGCCGCUAACCGCCGAAGAGCAAGCUCUUCUUUGGUCCGCUCGACUUGCAUGUAUUAGGCACGCCGCCAGCGUUCGUCCUGAGCCACGGAUCAAACUCU